ACCUCGGUGUUGUAGUGGUCAAGAGGCUCGCCUGGUAAACAGGAGGGCGUGGGUUCAAUCCCAGCCGAGGUA
RNAcentral lists this transfer RNA (72 nucleotides) under Diaphorina citri (Asian citrus psyllid). It matches the Rfam family "tRNA". Rfam says of the family: Transfer RNA (tRNA) molecules are approximately 80 nucleotides in length. Their secondary structure includes four short double-helical elements and three loops (D, anti-codon, and T loops). The record is from Rfam by way of RNAcentral. Lineage: Eukaryota; Metazoa; Arthropoda; Insecta; Hemiptera; Psyllidae.